GAUGAACGCUGGCGGCGUGCCUAAUACAUGCAAGUCGAGCGAACAGACGAGGAGCUUGCUCCUCUGACGUUAGCGGCGGACGGGUGAGUAACACGUGGAUAACCUACCUAUAAGACUGGGAUAACUUCGGGAAACCGGAGCUAAUACCGGAUAAUAUAUUGAACCGCAUGGUUCAAUAGUGAAUGACGGUUUUGCUGUCACUGAUAGAUGGAUCCGCGCCGCAUUAGCUAGUUGGUAAGGUAACGGCUUACCAAGGCAACGAUGCGUAGCCUGCCUGAGGGGGUGGUCGGCCACACUGGAACUGAGCCACGCUCCAGACUCCUACGGGAGGCGCCAGUAGGGACUCUUCCGCAGUGGGCGAAAGCCUGACAGAGCAGCGCCGCGGGAUCGAUGAAGGUCUUCGGAUCGUAAAGCGCUGUUAUUAGGGAAGAACAAAUGUGUAAGUAACUAGGCACGAAUUGACGGUACCGACUCAGAAAGCCACGGCUAACUACGUG
Molecule: ribosomal RNA, 497 nt
Filed under: uncultured bacterium
Lineage: Bacteria
Description: partial 16S ribosomal RNA
Rfam family: Bacterial small subunit ribosomal RNA
Source: RNAcentral